Oncorhynchus keta (chum salmon) is the source of this 419-nucleotide long non-coding RNA. RefSeq lists it as uncharacterized. The record is from RefSeq and is a predicted model, not a curated record. NCBI's taxonomy places the organism in Eukaryota, Metazoa, Chordata, Actinopteri, Salmoniformes, Salmonidae. The transcript is spliced from 3 exons.
AGGACCACAGUAUAGACAGGAGAUAGUAGGAGGACAGGUUAAGACCACAGUAUAGACAGGAGAUAGUAGGAGGACAGGUUAGGACCACAGUAUAGACAGGAGGACAGACAGGAGGACAGGUUAGGACCACAGUAUAGACAGGAGACAGUAGGAGGACAGGUUAGGACCACAGUACAGACAGGAGACAGGAGGACAGGUUAGGUCCACAGUACAGACAGGAGACAGGAGGACAGGUUAGGACCACAGUACAGACAGGAGACAGGAGGACAGGUUAGGACCACAGUACAGACAGGAGACAGGAGGACAGGUUAGGACCACAGUACAGACAGGAGACAGGAGGACAGGUUAGGACCACAGUACAGACAGGAGACAGGAGGACAGGUUAGGACCACAGUACAGACAGGAGACAGUAGGAGGAC